Molecule: transfer RNA, 76 nt
Filed under: Phycisphaerales bacterium
Lineage: Bacteria; Pseudomonadati; Planctomycetota; Phycisphaerae; Phycisphaerales
Also listed under: 1 other name
Description: tRNA-Leu
Rfam family: tRNA
About the family: Transfer RNA (tRNA) molecules are approximately 80 nucleotides in length. Their secondary structure includes four short double-helical elements and three loops (D, anti-codon, and T loops). Further hydrogen bonds mediate the characteristic L-shaped molecular structure. tRNAs have two regions of fundamental functional importance: the anti-codon, which is responsible for specific mRNA codon recognition, and the 3' end, to which the tRNAs corresponding amino acid is attached (by aminoacyl-tRNA synthetases). tRNAs cope with the degeneracy of the genetic code in two manners: having more than one tRNA (with a specific anti-codon) for a particular amino acid; and 'wobble' base-pairing, i.e. permitting non-standard base-pairing at the 3rd anti-codon position.
Source: RNAcentral
GCCCCGGUAGCCCAACGGCAGAGGCAGCGGUCUCAAACACCGUCCAGUGUGGGUUCGAAUCCCACCCGGGGCACCA